UCUUCUCAAUAAAUGAAUAGUUCAUUUCUU
RNAcentral lists this non-coding RNA (30 nucleotides) under Rattus norvegicus (Norway rat). The record is from RNAcentral. Lineage: Eukaryota; Metazoa; Chordata; Mammalia; Rodentia; Muridae.